AGGACGAACGCUGGCGGCGUGCCUAACACAUGCAAGUCGAGCGAGGAGAUCCUCGGGAUGAUCCUAGCGGCGGACGGGUGAGUAACACGUGGGCAACCUGCCUCAUAGAGAGGAAUAGCCUUCCGAAAGGGAGAUUAAUACCUCAUAACAUUGCAGUUUCGCAUGGAACAGCAAUUAAAGGAGCAAUCCGCUAUGAGAUGGGCCCGCGGCGCAUUAGCUAGUUGGUGAGGUAACGGCUCACCAAGGCGAUGAUGCGUAGCCGACCUGAGAGGGUGAUCGGCCACAUUGGGACUGAGACACGGCCCAGACUCCUACGGGAGGCAGCAGUGGGGAAUAUUGCACAAUGGGGGAAACCCUGAUGCAGCCAACGCCGCGUGAGUGAUGACGGCCUUCGGGUUGUAAAGCUCUGUCUUCAGGGACGAUAAUGACGGUACCUGAGGAGGAAGCCACGGCUAACUACGUGCCAGCAGCAGC
This 474-nucleotide ribosomal RNA is filed under the name uncultured bacterium. Its description in RNAcentral is "bacterial SSU rRNA". It matches the Rfam family "Bacterial small subunit ribosomal RNA", at positions 26 to 518 of the family's 1533-position model. The record is from RNAcentral.